CCAUAGCACUUAUACCCUAGACCCGUACGAGUUUGUCAGUAGAGGGUUCAAAGGGGGGAUAUGGAAUCCAAGAUACAACGAAUUCGAACUGAACUAUUGCCGGCUGGCCAAACUAAGAGAUUCUCCACACCGACCAUUAUACCAGAGGUAGAGGUUGGUAUUGCCUCUAAAAUGGCCCAUAGCACUUAUGCCCUAGACCCGUACGAGUUAGUCAGAAAAGGAUAAGGGGGGGUACCCUG
This 239-nucleotide long non-coding RNA is filed under the name Mytilus galloprovincialis (Mediterranean mussel). The record is from RNAcentral. Lineage: Eukaryota; Metazoa; Mollusca; Bivalvia; Mytilida; Mytilidae.